RNAcentral lists this ribosomal RNA (1135 nucleotides) under Bacillus pumilus. RNAcentral's name for it is "partial 23S ribosomal RNA". It matches the Rfam family "Bacterial large subunit ribosomal RNA", at positions 1154 to 2287 of the family's 2925-position model. The record is from RNAcentral. Lineage: Bacteria; Bacillati; Bacillota; Bacilli; Caryophanales; Bacillaceae.
UGACUCUGCGCCGAAAAUGUACCGGGGCUAAACGUAUCACCGAAGCUGCGGACUGUUCUAACGAACAGUGGUAGGAGAGCGUUCUAAGUGCUGUGAAGUCAGACCGGAAGGACUGGUGGAGCGCUUAGAAGUGAGAAUGCCGGUAUGAGUAGCGAAAGACGGGUGAGAAUCCCGUCCACCGAAUGCCUAAGGUUUCCUGAGGAAGGCUCGUCCGCUCAGGGUUAGUCGGGACCUAAGCCGAGGCCGAAAGGCGUAGGCGAUGGACAACAGGUUGAUAUUCCUGUACCACCUCCUCACCAUUUGAGCAAUGGGGGGACGCAGGAGGAUAGGGUAAGCGCGGUAUUGGAUAUCCGCGUCCAAGCAGUUAGGCUGGGAAAUAGGCAAAUCCGUUUCCCGUGAAGGCUGAGCUGUGAUGGCGAGCGAAAUUUAGUAGCGAAGUUCCUGAUUCCACACUGCCAAGAAAAGCCUCUAGCGAGGUGAGAGGUGCCCGUACCGCAAACCGACACAGGUAGGCGAGGAGAGAAUCCUAAGGUGAUCGAGAGAACUCUCGUUAAGGAACUCGGCAAAAUGACCCCGUAACUUCGGGAGAAGGGGUGCUUCUUAGGGUGUUAAAGCCCCGAGAAGCCGCAGUGAAUAGGCCCAGGCGACUGUUUAGCAAAAACACAGGUCUCUGCGAAGCCGUAAGGCGAAGUAUAGGGGCUGACGCCUGCCCGGUGCUGGAAGGUUAAGAGGAGCGCUUAGCGUAAGCGAAGGUGCGAAUUGAAGCCCCAGUAAACGGCGGCCGUAACUAUAACGGUCCUAAGGUAGCGAAAUUCCUUGUCGGGUAAGUUCCGACCCGCACGAAAGGCGCAACGAUCUGGGCACUGUCUCAACGAGAGACUCGGUGAAAUUAUAGUACCUGUGAAGAUGCAGGUUACCCGCGACAGGACGGAAAGACCCCGUGGAGCUUUACUGCAGCCUGAUAUUGAAUGUUGGUACAGCUUGUACAGGAUAGGUAGGAGCCUUGGAAACCGGAGCGCUAGCUUCGGUGGAGGCAUCGGUGGGAUACUACCCUGGCUGUAUUGACCUUCUAACCCGCUGCCCUUAUCGGGCAGGGAGACAGUGUCAGGUGGGCAGUUUGACUGGGGCGGUCGCC